AGGACAAACGCUGGCGGCGUGCCUAAGACAUGCAAGUCGGACGGGGGACUUCGGUCCUUAGUGGCGGACGGGUGAGGAGCGCGUGGAGAACCUGCCCUGGGGUGGGGGAUAACACUCGGAAACGAGUGCUAAGACCGCAUACGACCGGUAGUUGAUGGACUAUCGGGGAAAGCAGUGAUGUGCCCUGGGAGGGCUCCGCGUCGGAUUAGCUGGUUGGUGGGGUAACGGCCUACCAAGGCUGCGAUCCGUAGCUGGUCUGAGAGGACGGCCAGCCACACUGGGACUGAGACACGGCCCAGACUCCUACGGGAGGCAGCAGUUAGGGAAUUUUGUCAAUGGGCGAAAGCCUGAACGAGUGACGCCGCGUGCGGGAUGACGCCUUUCGGGGUGUAAACCGCUUUUCCCCAGGACGAGGAUGGACGGUACGUGGGGAAUAAGUCUCGGCUAACUACGUGCCAGCAGCCGC
Molecule: ribosomal RNA, 466 nt
Filed under: uncultured bacterium
Lineage: Bacteria
Description: SSU rRNA
Rfam family: Bacterial small subunit ribosomal RNA
Source: RNAcentral